RNAcentral lists this long non-coding RNA (812 nucleotides) under Salvia miltiorrhiza (redroot sage). RNAcentral describes it as "long non-coding RNA (SMIL_LNC010909)". The record is from RNAcentral. Lineage: Eukaryota; Viridiplantae; Streptophyta; Magnoliopsida; Lamiales; Lamiaceae.
CCAUAACCUUCUCAAGAGACACGUCGACAUUCCGGUCGAAGAAGCAAGCUGCAAUGCAUGUAUUUUGAGAGAGGAGACCUCGGAUCACCUCUUUCUCUCAUGUGCAAAAACUGAGCAAAUUUGGGAUGAUAUCCAACGAUGGAUCGGCUUCACUACGGCUAGACCAAGAGGCGUGGCACAUCAUUUCAUUUCUUUCUGUCAUCAAGGUAGAGGUAAGAGAAGCCGCAAAAUCCUUAAAGCUUUGUGGAUGUGUGUUAUUUGGCUCAUCUGGAAAAAAAGAAACGAGAGCAGAUUCGAAGAUAAAUUUUGGGACGUCAAAAACCUUGUUCUGGAAGCUAAAGUCAGAUUAUGGAGCUGGCUUUCUUCGUUUAAAGUGUUGAAAGAUGGGUUUUGCCUCGAGCUCUGGUGUUCUCCGGAUUUCUCUCUGGCCUCCUGCUUAUCUGCUUAGUUUUUGCUCGGUUGUUUUCGGCCCACACUGUUCUAGCGUGACAAGGUUUGGGGCGCUGCCCUUGUCUCUGUUCCGACCAGUUUUUCUCAUGAGCCUUGGAGCAGUGAUUCGACUCUUGCUGUGAUUUUGUUGUGUCUUGGGGCUUGGAUGUCGUCAUUCAUCUCUCCGUCUGGCUUUGGUUCUCUUUUUUCUUUCUCUUUGCUUGUUUUGGGGUGGCUGCUAGGUUCAGUCCAUGCUCCCCUUUUCUGUUUUCUGCUUUCUUGUUCCUCUUCUUCUCUUUGUGGUACAUCUACCAUUUUGAUUUAAUGCAACUCCUUUUUUCCGAUAAAAAAAAAGUAAAGCAAUGAAAAAAUAAAGUGCACAC